Molecule: unclassified non-coding RNA, 335 nt
Filed under: soil metagenome
Description: partial contains 5.8S ribosomal RNA, internal transcribed spacer 2, and large subunit ribosomal RNA
Rfam family: 5.8S ribosomal RNA (bases 1-121)
Source: RNAcentral
GAUGAAGAACGUAGCGAAAUGCGAUAAGUAAUGCGAAUUGCAGAAUUUCCGUGAGUCAUCGAAUCUUUGAACGCACAUUGCGCCUGCCAGCACUCUGGCAGGCAUGCCUGUUCGAGCGUCAUUUCAACCAUCAAGCCCUAGGCUUGCGUUGGAGCCCUGCGGCUGCCGCAGGCCCCUAAAAGCAGUGGCGGGCUCGCUAUCACACCGAGUGCAGUAGAUUACUCUUCGCUCAGGGCGUGUGGCGGGUUCCAGCCGUGAAACCCCCUACUUCUCAAGGUUGACCUCGGAUCAGGUAGGAAUACCCGCUGAACUUAAGCAUAUCAAUAAGCGGAGGA